CUUUCCUAGGCACCGCGUCUGCUUACAAAAGUCGAGCGGAAACGAGUUAUCUGAACCUUCGGGGAACGAUAACGGCGUCGAGCGGCGGACGGGUGAGUAAUGCCUAGGAAAUUGCCCUGAUGUGGGGGAUAACCAUUGGAAACGAUGGCUAAUACCGCAUGAUGCCUACGGGCCAAAGAGGGGGACCUUCGGGCCUCUCGCGUCAGGAUAUGCCUAGGUGGGAUUAGCUAGUUGGUGAGGUAAUGGCUCACCAAGGCGACGAUCCCUAGCUGGUCUGAGAGGAUGAUCAGCCACACUGGAACUGAGACACGGUCCAGACUCCUACGGGAGGCAGCAGUGGGGAAUAUUGCACAAUGGGCGCAAGCCUGAUGCAGCCAUGCCGCGUGUGUGAAGAAGGCCUUCGGGUUGUAAAGCACUUUCAGUCGUGAGGAAGGUGGUGGUGUUAAUAGCUGUAUCAUUUGACGUUAGCGACAGAAGAAGCACCGGCUAACUCCGUGCCAGCAGCCGCGGUAAUACGGAGGGUGCGAGCGUUAAUCGGAAUUACUGGGCGUAAAGCGCAUGCAGGUGGUUUGUUAAGUCAGAUGUGAAAGCCCGGGGCUCAACCUCGGAAUAGCAUUUGAAACUGGCAGACUAGAGUACUGUAGAGGGGGGUAGAAUUUCAGGUGUAGCGGUGAAAUGCGUAGAGAUCUGAAGGAAUACCGGUGGCGAAGGCGGCCCCCUGGACAGAUACUGACACUCAGAUGCGAAAGCGUGGGGAGCAAACAGGAUUAGAUACCCUGUAGUCCACGCCGUAAACGAUGUCUACUUGGAGGUUGUGCCUUGAGCCGUGCUUUCGGAGCUAACGCGUUAAGUAAACCGCCUGGGGAGUACGUCGCAAGAUUAAAACUCAAAUGAAUUGACGGGGCCCCGCACAAGCGUGCAGCAUGUGUUUUAUUUCGAUGCAACGCGAAGAACCUUACCUACUCUUGACAUCGAGAGAACUUCCAGAGAUGAAUUUGUGCAUUCGGGAACUCUGAAACAGUUGCUUGCAUGGCCUGUCCGUCAGCCUCGUGAUUGUGCAAAUGUGCGUAAAGGUUCCUGCUACGAGCGCAACGUGUUAUUCUGGUGCUAGGCGAUAUGUCGGACUCAGUGAACUGGCGGUUAUAAUAAAAUCGU
Molecule: ribosomal RNA, 1155 nt
Filed under: bacterium Fav-2-50-07
Lineage: Bacteria
Description: bacterial SSU rRNA
Rfam family: Bacterial small subunit ribosomal RNA
Source: RNAcentral